AACGCGUCUGACUACGGAUCAGAAGAUUCCAGGGCCGUGGUGCUGAGGCGACGCUGCUCAAGGUGGAUCCGGAGCCCCGCGGCUUCGGAAGCUGAGACACCUAUCGCGAGGGGAGAACCUGGCGCUCCCCCGCUCCGACGCAAGGCGACCCGCCGCCGCAGCCCCGGAAGCGCAUCCUCGGCUUCGCGGGCCUUCCUGUUCCCAGCAGCGCCCGGCUCCGGGCGUUUCUUCGCUCUCCCACGGUCCGCGCCCGCCCUGCCCCAGCCGAGGGCACCCGCGCGGCCAGGGCCGCAGCUGGGAGCCCCGCGCCUCUCGGACGGCCGCGCGACUCGGUGACCACCUCGGAGGCCUCAGUGUGAGUCUCCGGAAAAUGCGGGUAGUCCCGCCGCCCUCCGUGUACUUGGGACCCUCGUGCAGUCCGGCCUUGGCCGUGAUUAGGGACCUCGGCCCCCGACAGCCCCGCCUUGCCUUCCCGUCUCCAGAGUCACUGCAGUCUCUGUCUCUGGGCUCCGAGUGGGAACCUCUGAGAAAGGCGGAAUCCGGGAGGUGGGGUCACAGAUCGCAGGCCCUUCUAGGAUGAGAAGCCCCCAGUGGGAAUCCAGGGCUGCAAAAAGGGAGGCGAGGAGGGGAUCUGAAAGGAUUGGACCAGCAGGGCUGUGGCCUGGAAGAGGUCGUGGCGGGCGGGUGGGGCUGGCCUGGCUUGGGCUCUUUCUUCCUCCCUUCCUCCCCAGUUUACGAGGCCUCACCUUCGGGAAACUCCCAUUAAGGGGACGUCGAAGGGCUGAGUCUUCCAACACUUUGGCCUUUUGUUCUACCUGUCAAAAGGAAAAAAAGACCCCGAAGUUAAGAAAUGGACCAACUGUGGAUUCUGCCUAUUGCCUUGUAGCUCGAGAAAAGUCACUGGAAGCACCAGUUUAAAAUCAAGCCUUGCGCCCUGGUGUGUGGCCUAUAACCUCCAUCUGACAUAUAACCUGCUUCCAUGUUAAGUGGAUCAAUCACACGCUUUUCUGGGAAAGCAGUCUCGAUAUUCCACCUAACAUCCUCAGGUAGAUCCUUAGGAUUUCCUUCUUAGGUGUAUUAUUAUUAUUACUAUUUUUAAGGGUUAGCCCAGCCUAGUCUCUCAGAUCACAUUGCUCCAGGUUCCUUCAAAUGACUGAUAUGAAUGUGAUGUUUUUAUGGCCUUAAGAAAAGAAAGAGCAACCCUUACCUAAUGAACUGUUUUCUUUUCUUUCUUGUUUUUUUUUUUUUUAAACAGGCCACUUGUAUAGGCAUUUGCUUUCCCAGCCCUGUUACUCCUCCAUUUUCAUACCUUCGCUAGAAGAACCAUGGUUUUAUCAUCUUGUAGGUUCCCUUGUUAGCAAGAUAAUAAGCUUGGGCAUGUGCUCAAUAGAAAUUUGUCUGAGACAUUUUUAUUUAUAGUCCCCUCUAUACCACUCAGAAAUACAAGUGAGUUAGUGUGGUGCCCUGAAAGGAGACAGGAGUCUUGGGGCCCAGGAGAUGACAGGGAUUUGUCCUCUCCAUCUUUCUCUAAUGCCAAUGGGCAGGAGUACUCUAGCUGGGAAGCUGAAUGUGCCCCAAGCCAACUGCUUGCAGAUGAGUGACAGUGUUUGGAAGCCUAUGGCUCUCGCCUUCUCUUCAAACCAGGUGCAUUCUGCAAGAUGCAGCAGCUGCCUACCCUUUUAGACACUCUGCCCUUUCUCACCGUCCUCCACUACCCCUCCCUCACUUAACCCCAAAUGGAAGCUCAGGCUGUCUGCCUUGUCUGAUAUUUCCUUUGGAAGAUGGAGAACAAAUACGCCCUGGGCAGUGACUGGCACUGUGUGACGUCUUGCUCCUGUAGCACACUGCACCUUGCAUAUGAUCUUUUAUUUUAUUUUUUUACUAUAGCCUUUAUUCUCUCUUUCCUAAGCUUGAUGUUAGUAACCUUCCAGGUCUUCCCUCCAACCCUGAGGCACUAUCUCACCAUAAGUAAGCAGAGGGUGGCCUUCUGACUUUGGGGUGGGAUUGAGACUAGAACCAAGUUAGAACUAUCUGCCAGAAACCCAGUUCAGUAACAGUCAAAGGAGCGAAAGGAUGCUGCUAAAAUGUGCCUUAGAGGGUGGGGGUGUAUUGGAUGAGUUUGGAUUUGGUUCAUGGACACUGGAGAUAGACUCACAAUGAAAGAGAAAGAAACAUGGGAAAAAGAUUAUGAGAGCUGGGGAAAACCUCAAAAUUAAUUUAAUCCACGGUGUGUCGUAGGUCACUAAGAUUUUUACACUCUUCCCUCCUGUAUGAGUCUGCUAGGGCUGCCAUAACAGAAUACCACAGACUGCAUAUCUUAAACGACAGAAAUUUAUUUUCUCACAGUUCUGGAGGCUAGAAGUUCAAGAUCAAGGUGUCGGCAGGUUUGCUUUCUUCCGAGGCCUUUCUCCUUGGCUUUCAGGUGGCCACCUUCCUGCUGUGUCCUCACAUGAUUCUCCCUCAGUUUGUGUUGUCUGUGUCCUAAUCUCCUCUUCUUCUAAGGACACAAGAAAUAUUGAAUUAGGAUCCACCCAUAUGACUUCAUUUUACUUUAAUUAUCUCUUUAAAGGCCCUACCUCCAAAUACAGUCACAGACUGAGGUACUGGGCAUUAGGACUUCAACCUGUGAAUCCAGCGGGGGGACUAAAAUUCAGCUUAUUUCUGAGGACAGAGAUCAAUGUAUUAUGUACAUUAUUGACACAGUUUGGGGAAUUCCCAGAAGUUAACCCCACAGAAUAUUUUGGCACAUCUCCCCAUCUACUCAGUAUUUGCAUAUUUCUAUUGCAGAAGAGACAUUUGGUUUUUAUUUCACUGUUUUUUGUAAACUAUUUCUGCCAGUUAAUUUAACUUCAUAGGUCUUUUUCAAAUGAAAAAUAUGCAAGUCUUCAUUAGCUGACAACAGCAUUUUAAGAAAAGGAUGGAGCAGGUAUUUCCUCUCCCCUGAGGCUGCUGAAGGAGAGAUACCUUUCCACAUUCUAAAACAAGCAGUCUGGUUAAAUGAAGAGUUAAACUGAGAACUUUCACAAGAAUUUCAGUCCAGUUCUUUGCAAUAAGAAGAUGAGUGAUUCAGAACUUUCGCUAACUUGUUCUCUUCUCUGUUUAAUAUAAUUUUGUCCUUGGAAGUGUUAUUUUUAACAAAGGGGAAUUGUUAGAUUCCUAAAAGUUUAAAAAUUGUUGCCGUGUCUUGGCAGUAUCUGUAUCUGUACCUCAGUAUCUGUCUUGAUAAUUUCUUGUCCUGGUGAUACCAUGGAAAGUCCUAUCUCUGUAUUCCCAAAAGUUAUAAAAUUACUUAGAAGAUUUAUCUGCCAGUUAAUAAUUUUCUUUCACAUGCAUGAUUUAAUAUGUGUGAUCCUAUGACUUCUAUAUUUUAUUAGCUAACAAAUUCUUUCUUUUUUUAUUCUUAAAAUAUCUUUUUUUACAUUAAUAGACUUUACUUUUUAGAGCACUUUUAAAUUUAUAGAAGAGUUGAGUGGAAAGUACAGAGAGUUCCUGUAUGCUUCUUCUUCCUCUACUUCCAUUUCUUCUAUUAUUAACAACUUGCAUUGUUAUGGUACAUUUGUUAGAAUUGCUCAGCCAAUAUUUACACAUUAUUAUUAACUAAAGUCCGUAGUUUGCAUUAGGGUUCACUCUGUAUACAGUUCUGUGAGUUUUGCUAAAUGCAUAAUGUCAUGUAACCACAUAUGUAUUGCAUACAUAGAGCAUACAGAAUAGUUUCAUUGCCCUAAGCAAUCCCCUAUACUCAACCUCAAAUAAUUUCUUUUACAUUAACACCACUGUGUGGUAAGAGCCCCUCCCUCGCCAACCCUCCUUGAGCUUGAUGGAAACAAAAUGACCUUUUAUCCCAACAGCCCUUUUUCAUUAUUUGUGUAUGUGUCUCCUACAUUUGUAAGGUCUCUGGAGAGUCAGCCACCUGGUGUCCUGAUAAACUUCCUAAAGGUGAGUCUCAAGGAACUAACCCAUAUUCAUAGACUCAGAUACAGCAUCCAGCUAGUGGCCUGUUUUCCUUGAAUUUAUCUUUAUUGUCACCUGCUGUGUUUUGGCCUUUGACAUGUGGCACUCAUGGCUCCCUGCUUGGGAUGGACUGCAAGGGAUCUAACAGGAAGAAGACUGAGUCUAGGAAACAGACUGUGAGCCUUCCCAUACUGGGACGUGGGCUAAGAAACACAGUUUUGGAGUGGAAUGGAAGGAGAGUGGUAUGAAGUAUCCAUUCUUUAGGGAAGUGUGUCCUAGAGCAAAGGCUCACCUUUCGGUUUCCUUUUUCACUCUCUGGUAACAAAAAGCCCUCUGAGAAUAUAUGCAGAAUAUUUAGGAUGACCUUAUCAUUUAUUGUCCAAAUCGGCAUACUUUGAGAGGGAAAGGGAGCAUUAUUACUAAUUAUACUGGGGCGACAGGUGCCAACCAAGUCAUGCUAAUGCUAGGCCAAGUGAUUUUCAUGCCAUAACAUCUCUCUCAACAUUUCUUCCUUCAUUGUAAGAACAGCUGUCUUUGCCUCCCUCUUCCUUUCUGGGCACACCAUUACCAUACCCCAAAUUGACCUGUGUGAUCUCUGGCAUCCUUCUCCUUCAUUUUAUUUAAAAAUUAUUUUUCUUUAUUAUGUCCAACUUUGGAUUUUUUUUUUUAAUUUUGUUGUCUAAGAAUUGUUCAAGCAUUUCUUUAGUGGUGCAUUGGGGAGGGAGGAAAAGGGGACUGCAGUUAGGCCUAAAUGCAUGUGAUGUCCAGGGAAAGAUGUCUUCAGGAGCGAGCGGGUCGGGUCUAGCUGGAUCAGUAGAACUGCAGUGUGUCUCCCUGACAACAGGGACUUUUUGGCCCAUCACUGAUUUAGAAUACGGUAUUUAGAGGCAAGGGGAGAGCACAGUAAGGGAAGAGAAGUGUCCAGCUAAUUUCACAUUAGCUUUUCAGUGAAUCGCUGUUCAACAUGAGAAUGGAACGGUUUGUUCUCAGUUUAAUCCCUGGUCCCAAAGUUGCUUAUAAGGUACCAAGGGACAUAAUGACUGAUUCAAGGCACACUCCCACUUUGAUUCUUCCUUCUUCUUUUCAUUUCUCCCUCUCUUCCACAAGAAUGAAGGAAAAGUACAAAAUUUCCAGAAAUUCUAGUCAUAGUGAAAAAAUAGGGAGAAAAAUGGAUAAUUUGGUGUUUUAGCACCAUUUAUAGGUGGUCACUUUUGUUAGCCAAGGAACAUAAAAAUCAAAUCUAAGUUUGCUCAAAGAUCAUGUUUGUCCACUAUAUCUAGAUGGUGAGGUCUAGCAAAAAAACAACUCUGGAGCAAUUUAGAGACAAGAUAAUAAUUUUUUUUUCUUAAAAUAAAACAUUAUGGAGUAGGGCAGGGCAUAGGGUUACAUAAAUCCCCAGGAAAUGUUUUCAAAGGUGGAACAGAGUAGCUAGUCUUGGUCUAAAGCUUUAAAAAAGUCAUACAGUGCUUGUGAAUGCUGGCCAUUAGGUCCGGGACCUAAUUACCCAAACUCAAAAUAAAUAACUUUCUCUUCUAUGUGGCCCUGAAUCUGUGCUUUGUGCUACCCACUUUUUAAAAAUAGUUUUUGUUAAUUCUUGAGUAGACACAUAAAAUUUCUCUGUGUAAAAUAUAGAGAAUAAUGGUACGCCAGCCAUGUGCCUCUCCCUCUGCACCCCCUCUAUCCUCAGUUUAAGGAAGAAAAUGCCACCCCCACUCGCUUGUCUCUGGACUAACCCUCAUGUCCUCUCCAACCUCCGUCCCCCUCUCAACCUCCUCUGGGGUGACUGCUGUCCUGAUUUUUAUAUUUAGGCUUUUUUUAGUUUUACUACAUGCUUGUGGCCUAAGCAUGUCAUUUAGUUUUACACUUAUAAAUGGAUCUAUACAUAUUUUGCAACUUGCUUUUUUUGCUCAACAUUAUGUUCUUGAGAUUCAUCCAUGUUUUUGCCUGUACGUAGCUGUAAUCUGUUUAUUUCUGCUAUUGAAUAGUAUCCCUUUGCAUAGAUUUCACCAAAAUGUAUUUAUCUAUUUUAUUACUGAAGGACACUGGGUGGUUUCCAGUUUCAGUUUUUUGAAAUUACAGAGUUUUUCUAUAAACAUUUUUGUAGGGGGUCUCCUGUGUACACCUCUAAGAAUUCCUCUAGCUAAACACCUACAAGUGAAAUUGGUUUAGAUAAUGCCACAUUGUUUUCCAAAGUGAACACACUAAUUUACACACAUAAACACACACCCCAGCAGUGUAUAAACGUUUUAAUUGUUUCACAUCUGCUUAGCCCUUGAUAUUGUCAGACAAUUUAGUUUUCACCAAUUUGAUGGGUGUGAAAUGUUAUAUUCUGUGACUUUAAUAUGGAUUUCCCAUAUUACUAAUGAGGUUGAGCAUAUUUUUAUGUGCCUAUUCACCAUUCAUGCUUCUUCUAAGAAGUACUUGUUAAUGCUUUUGUCCAUUGUUUUUGAAUUUUUAUUUUGUAGGAAUUCUUUACAUAUUCUAGAUUCUAAUCGUUUGUCAGUUAUAUGCAUUAUGAAAAUCUUUGCUUAGCUUAUGACUUUUUACUUUUUUAUGCUAUCUUCUUGUUUUUUUUAAAGAUGGGCACCUGACCUAACAACUGUUGCCAAUCUUCUUUUUUUUUUCUCCCCAAAUCCUCCCAGUACAUACUUGUAUAUUUUAGUCGUGGGUCCUUCUAGUUGUGGCAUGUGGGAUGCUGCCUCAGUGUGGCCUCAGCAGUGCCAUGUCCACACCCAGGAUCCGAACCAGUGAAACCCUGGGCUGCCGAACCAGAGUGCGCAAACUUAACCACUCGGCCAUGGGGCUGGACCCUAUGCUGUCUUUUUGAUAUACACAAAUUAUUGAUUUUAAUAUAGUUAAAUUUGAAUUUUAAUGUAGUUAAAUUUGUCAUUUCCCUUUAUGGUUUAUACUUUUUGUGUCUUGUUAAAGAAAUCUUUCUAGGAGCAGUGUGAGGAGGACAGACGAGCCCUCUGGACUGGCAAGGCCACCGGCCAAGUACUGCUGCCACCAUGCCCAAGAGAAAGGCAAAAGGAGAUGCUAAAGGUGACAAAGCAAAGGUGAAGGAUGAGCCACAGAGGAGAUCAGCACGGUUGUCCGCUAAACCUGCCCCCCCAAAACCAGAGCCCAGGCCUAAAAAGGCCCCUGCAAAGAAGGGAGAGAAGCUACCCAAAGGGAGAAAGGGGAAAGCAGAUAGUGGCAAGGAUGGGAACAACCCUGCGAAAAACCGAGAUGCCACCACAGUCCAGUCACAGAAAGCGGAAGGCAGCGGGGAUGCCAAGUGAAGUGUGCUAUUUUGAUAGCUCUGUACUUGUAGUGACUCUGCUGUUUGAAAUACUGUUUUUUUUUAAAUCAACUUUUAUAAAAAUGUAGAAUUUUGUUUUUCUUUUUAAGUUAUAUUGUUAGCACACAGGACACUUUGUUGUCUUUUGUGGAAAGGGCAAAUACCACUAACAGAGUGUUUCAGAAGCUGGAUUAAAAUGGAGGAAAAUAGUAUUUUCUGUCCUCAUUUUUGAAGAUUAUUCUUGGUCCCUGGGAGAGAUUCUCUGACAUUCACACACGAGUCAGUCACUUUGGCUCAGACGCCUUACAGUGUGUGGAAGCAAAACUUCAUGUCUUUGCCUUUCCUGAUACCAUCAGCAUAUAUUUGACUUUCUGAACCCAAGAGUUAUGGUUUCAGAAAACCAGCAUCCCUAAAAUCAGCUGUGUUGGGUAAUAAUCCUCAGGCCUUCUGAUGAAGACAUCGACAUGGUGUUGCUCAAAAGAGCCAAGAUUCCUGUUUGCAAUUUGUGGAUCAUCCCAUUGAUAAUCCUGGAGUUUGUAGUUUUCUCCAAGUCAGAAAUGACCUGUGAAAAGCUCUUACAUGCCUCAUGUGAAAUAUCCACCCCUUCUGACAACUUUGCCUGUUCAAAGCAGGAACAGAAGACUUUGUUGACUUUUUGGGGAGGGGUGUUUGGAAGUUGUAAAAUGUUAUGGAUUGUCACCUAUGUCCUGCUGGAAAUAACUGUUUUUGAAAAGUAUCUUAUGGAGCUGUAUACAAGUUGGCUUGGUGGUAGGGGGGUAUCAUUUCCUACCCAAAGUCAUAAAGAUAUUCUUUACUGCCUUGUAAAAGUUUUACAGUUUUGCUUUUCAUACGUCUUUAGUCUUUAGAACUGGUUUUUGUGAAAAGUAUGAGAUAGAAGUUCAAUAUAAUAUAUUUUCCAUAUAGAUAAGUGGUUGUUGCAGCACCAUUUUCUGAAAAGUUCAUCCUUUCCUCACUGACCUGUAACACUGUCUCUUUCAUAAAUCAAGUUUGUGUGUUUGUGUGGGUCUCUUGAUGGUUUCUGUUCUGACUCACUGGUCAAUUUGUCUAACCUGUGGCAGUACUAUACAAUCGUGAGUAUGACAACUUUAGAAAAAGGUCUUGAUAUCUCAGGACAAAUCCCACCUCCACCUCCAACAUCAUCACCAAAUUUUUCUUCCUUGAGAGUAUCUUGGCUAUUUUUAGCCAUUUGCUUUUCCAUACAAUUUCUAGAAUUAGAUUGAGAAGUUCUAAAUCAAACAAAAAAAAAUGUUGGAAUUUUUAUUAGAUUUAUGGAUUAAUUACAGUGUUGAAUCUUCCAAUCCAUGAACAUGGUAUAGCAUUUAUUUAGGCUUUUUAAAUGUCUUUCAAUAAAGUUUUAUAAUUUUCUCCAUAAAUGUCUUCUUUUGUUAAUAUUUCCUGGGGACUUUAUACCUUUUGAUGCUCUUUUAUGUGGUAUAUUUUAGUUACUACAUUUUCUGGUUUUAGCUAAAGUUGAUUUUUGUAUCCAGCAACCUUGCUAAAUUCUCAAUUCUUAUAUGUCUGUAUACUUCUUUGGGUUUUCUGCCUAGAUAACCAUAUAUUCUGUGUAUGCAAACAAUUUUUUUUCCUCACAGUCCUUAUGUGUCCUUUUCCUUUUUCUAAAGUGAGGCAUUGUCCAAGUGCUGAGGGUACAGCAGUGAACAAAACAGUCUCUGUUUUCACAAAGCUUAUCUUCUAGUUGGGGGAGGGUAGAAAACACACAAGUUUAUGUGACAAGGGGCCUUAAGUAAACAAGUGUAAGUGAGUGCUAUUUAAAUAGGGUAGUUAAGAAAGUCCUCUCUGAUGAGAUUUGAGCAGAACACUUAAUGAAGUAAAAGAAAAAGAGAUGUGAAUAUGAGAGGAAAGCAUUCCAGCAAAGGGAAUAGCAAAUGCAAAGAGAUGAGGUGAAAAUGUGUUUGGCACUCAGAGGAAGAAUGAGCAGAUGUGGCUGAAUUGGAGUGAUGGUAAGUAAGAGUGAUAGCUGAUAGCUCCAGGCUGUAAUUUUUCUCUGAAAGUGAUGGGAUACCAUUAGAGUUUUGAACAGAGAAAUGAUGCAAUCUAAGUUAGUGUAUGUGUUUGGCUGAUGAAAUGAGCAACACGCUGAAAGUGGAGAAGAAUUGAAGGAGGAAGAC
Equus caballus (horse) is the source of this 9381-nucleotide long non-coding RNA. Lineage: Eukaryota; Metazoa; Chordata; Mammalia; Perissodactyla; Equidae. The record is from Ensembl.